RNAcentral lists this ribosomal RNA (440 nucleotides) under uncultured bacterium. RNAcentral's name for it is "partial 16S ribosomal RNA". It matches the Rfam family "Bacterial small subunit ribosomal RNA", at positions 338 to 795 of the family's 1533-position model. The record is from RNAcentral.
CCUACGGGUGGCAGCAGUGGGGAAUAUUGCACAAUGGGGGAAACCCUGAUGCAGCGACGCCGCGUGAGUGAAGAAGUAUUUCGGUAUGUAAAGCUCUAUCAGCAGGGAAGAAAAUGACAGUACCUGACCAAGAAGCCCCGGCUAACUACGUGCCAGCAGCCGCGGUAAUACGUAGGGGGCAAGCGUUAUCCGGAUUUACUGGGUGUAAAGGGAGCGUAGACGGUAUAGUAAGUCUGGAGUGAAAGGCCGGGGCUCAACCCCGGGACUGCUUUGGAAACUGGGCAACUAGAGUCCAGGAGGGGUAGGCGGAAUUCCUGGUGUAGCGGUGAAAUGCGUAGAUAUCAGGAGGAACACCGGUGGCGAAGGCGGCCUGCUGGACUGAAACUGACGUUGAGGCUCGAAAGCGUGGGGAGCAAACAGGAUUAGAUACCCGUGUAGUC